This 442-nucleotide ribosomal RNA is filed under the name uncultured bacterium. Its description in RNAcentral is "partial 16S ribosomal RNA". It matches the Rfam family "Bacterial small subunit ribosomal RNA", at positions 338 to 795 of the family's 1533-position model. The record is from RNAcentral.
CCUACGGGAGGCAGCAGUGGGGGAUAUUGGACAAUGGGGGGAACCCUGAUCCAGCGACGCCGCGUGAGUGAAGAAGUAUCGCGGUAUGUAAAGCUCUAUCAGCAGGGAAGAAGAAAGGACGGUACCUGAGUAAGAAGCCGAGGCUAACUAAGUGCCAGCAGCCGCGGUAAUACGUAGGGGGCAAGCGUUAUGCGGAAUUACUGGGGGUAAAGGGAGCGUAGACGGUGAUGUAAGUCUGGAGUGAAAGGCGGGGGCCCAACCCCCGGACUGCUCUGGAAACUCUGUGACUGGAGUGCAGGAGCGGUGAGCGGCAUUCCUCUUGUAGCGGUGACAUGCGUAGAUAUUAGGAGGAACACCAGUGGCGAAGGCGGCUCACUGGACUGUAACUGACGUUGCGGCUCGAAAGCGUGGGGAGCAAACAGGAUUAGAUACCCGGGUAGUC